GUUCAAUGCCAGCCUGGUCUACAUAGUUCUAAGCCCAGACUAGAAGGGAAGAGGCCUCUCACAAGAGGGGCUUGUGCCUGCUUGCGGGAAAAUCAUCACAUGCUUCCGUGACCUGCUUCAGAGAAAGAUACCCUGAUGCACUUCUUUCUGAACCUGAGGGCUGGGCCCUAGAACCUGUGUCCCCAACAAGACUCAGGCACGAUGAUGAGCCAAAGUAGACCCUGGGAAAAAGACAUUUUUGCCAUUGUUGGUUUGCCCAAGGUCUUUGCUGGCGACAGGAAGGAUCUCCUAGAAAAACCUUGUUCCAAAGGUAACAUGGGCAAGGAAGAUGCUGGAGCCGAGCUGAGCUGAGCUAUGGAGAACUUGGGGCCUGGGUUUCUUCUCAGCUAUGAUGGUAGUGACUGCCACCUGCCGUUAGUGAACAUGACUAAUGCGUUCUUUGUUUUACCUGCCUACUCCCAAAGGCUAGAAAAAUAUAGCUCCUGGAACAGAUCUCCCAGCUUCCGAGAUUUGUAAAUAAACUUUUAUUAAAACCUA
Mastomys coucha (southern multimammate mouse) is the source of this 537-nucleotide long non-coding RNA. RefSeq lists it as uncharacterized. Lineage: Eukaryota; Metazoa; Chordata; Mammalia; Rodentia; Muridae. The record is from RefSeq and is a predicted model, not a curated record. The transcript has 4 exons.